CUUUAAGAGUCCUGAAGGAACGUUGAAGACGACGACGUUGAUAGGCCGGGUGUGUAAGCGCAGCGAUGCGUUGAGCUAACCGGUACUAAUGAACCGUGAGGCUUAACCUUACAACGCCGAAG
Molecule: ribosomal RNA, 122 nt
Filed under: Citrobacter amalonaticus
Lineage: Bacteria; Pseudomonadati; Pseudomonadota; Gammaproteobacteria; Enterobacterales; Enterobacteriaceae
Description: partial 23S ribosomal RNA
Rfam family: Bacterial large subunit ribosomal RNA
Source: RNAcentral